GCCCUUCCUACGGGAGGCAGCAGUGGGGAAUAUUGCACAAUGGGCGAAAGCCUGAUGCAGCGACGCCGCGUGGGGGAUGACGGCCUUCGGGUUGUAAACCUCUUUCAGCAGGGAAGAAGCGAGAGUGACGGUACCUGCAGAAGAAGCGCCGGCUAACUACGUGCCAGCAGCCGCGGUAAUACGUAGGGCGCAAGCGUUGUCCGGAAUUAUUGGGCGUAAAGAGCUUGUAGGUGGCUUGUCGCGUCUGCCGUGAAAACCCGAGGCUCAACCUCGGGCGUGCGGUGGGUACGGGCAGGCUAGAGUGUGGUAGGGGAGACUGGAACUCCUGGUGUAGCGGUGAAAUGCGCAGAUAUCAGGAAGAACACCGAUGGCGAAGGCAGGUCUCUGGGCCAUUACUGACACUGAGAAGCGAAAGCAUGGGUAGCGAACAGGAUUAGAUACCCUGGUAGUCCAUGCCGUAAACGUUGGGCACUAGGUGUGGGGAGCAUUCCACGUUCUCCGCGCCGUAGCUAACGCAUUAAGUGCCCCGCCUGGGGAGUACGGCCGCAAGGCUAAAACUCAAAGGAAUUGACGGAAGGGC
This 580-nucleotide ribosomal RNA is filed under the name uncultured bacterium. RNAcentral's name for it is "bacterial SSU rRNA". It matches the Rfam family "Bacterial small subunit ribosomal RNA", at positions 332 to 922 of the family's 1533-position model. The record is from RNAcentral.